This 240-nucleotide long non-coding RNA is filed under the name Numida meleagris (helmeted guineafowl). Its description in RNAcentral is "lncRNA (ENSNMEG00000015757.1)". The record is from RNAcentral. Lineage: Eukaryota; Metazoa; Chordata; Aves; Galliformes; Numididae.
AUGCACAUGACCCAUGUCAUAACCUACUUUGCAGAGCCCUGCCCCAGUAACUGGGGGACUUGCCUUCCUACCUGUGGCCAACAGCUCCAAUUGAUCAACACUGAGUCUGGCAAUGGGCCCUUCAGAUUUGGACCAAGUUGCUGUAAACAAGGCUUCCAAGAAGCGAGUGCCUGGAGGACUUCAUUAAAAAGCAGCAUUGCCACUUCUGCCAAGGUUCCUACCCUUUGCCAAUGUGCUUAA